GAUGAACGCUGGCGGCGUGCCUAAUACAUGCAAGUCGAGCGAACAGAUAAGGAGCUUGCUCCUUUGAAGUUAGCGGCGGACGGGUGAGUAACACGUGGGUAACCUACCUAUAAGACUGGGAUAACUUCGGGAAACCGGAGCUAAUACCGGAUAACAUUUAGAACCGCAUGGCUCUAAAGUGAAAGAUGGUUUUGCUAUCACUUAUAGAUGGACCCGCGCCGUAUUAGCUAGUUGGUAAGGUAACGGCUUACCAAGGCGACGAUACGUAGCCGACCUGAGAGGGUGAUCGGCCACACUGGAACUGAGACACGGUCCAGACUCCUACGGGAGGCAGCAGUAGGGAAUCUUCCGCAAUGGGCGAAAGCCUGACGGAGCAACGCCGCGUGAGUGAUGAAGGGUUUCGGCUCGUAAAACUCUGUUAUUAGGGAAGAACAAAUGUGUAAGUAGCUGUGCACAUCUUGACGGUACCUAAUCAGAAAGCCACGGCUAACUACGUGCCAGCAGCCGCGGUAAUACGUAGGUGGCAAGCGUUAUCCGGAAUUAUUGGGCGUAAAGCGCGCGUAGGCGGUUUCUUAAGUCUGAUGUGAAAGCCCACGGCUCAACCGUGGAGGGUCAUUGGAAACUGGGAAACUUGAGUGCAGAAGAGGAAAGUGGAAUUCCAUGUGUAGCGGUGAAAUGCGCAGAGAUAUGGAGGAACACCAGUGGCGAAGGCGACUUUCUGGUCUGUAACUGACGCUGAUGUGCGAAAGCGUGGGGAUCAAACAGGAUUAGAUACCCUGGUAGUCCACGCCGUAAACGAUGAGUGCUAAGUGUUAGGGGGUUUCCGCCCCUUAGUGCUGCAGCUAACGCAUUAAGCACUCCGCCUGGGGAGUACGACCGCAAGGUUGAAACUCAAAGGAAUUGACGGGGACCCGCACAAGCGGUGGAGCAUGUGGUUUAAUUCGAAGCAACGCGAAGAACCUUACCAAAUCUUGACAUCCUUUGAAAACUCUAGAGAUAGAGCCUUCCCCUUCGGGGGACAAAGUGACAGGUGGUGCAUGGUUGUCGUCAGCUCGUGUCGUGAGAUGUUGGGUUAAGUCCCGCAACGAGCGCAACCCUUAAGCUUAGUUGCCAUCAUUAAGUUGGGCACUCUAGGUUGACUGCCGGUGACAAACCGGAGGAAGGUGGGGAUGACGUCAAAUCAUCAUGCCCCUUAUGAUUUGGGCUACACACGUGCUACAAUGGACAAUACAAAGGGCAGCUAAACCGCGAGGUCAUGCAAAUCCCAUAAAGUUGUUCUCAGUUCGGAUUGUAGUCUGCAACUCGACUACAUGAAGCUGGAAUCGCUAGUAAUCGUAGAUCAGCAUGCUACGGUGAAUACGUUCCCGGGUCU
Molecule: ribosomal RNA, 1372 nt
Filed under: uncultured bacterium
Lineage: Bacteria
Description: bacterial SSU rRNA
Rfam family: Bacterial small subunit ribosomal RNA
Source: RNAcentral